Long non-coding RNA from Raphanus sativus (radish), 630 nucleotides. RefSeq lists it as uncharacterized. The transcript has 3 exons. The record is from RefSeq and is a predicted model, not a curated record. Lineage: Eukaryota; Viridiplantae; Streptophyta; Magnoliopsida; Brassicales; Brassicaceae.
UUGCAAGUUACUUUUCUCCAAUAGCUCAGCUGAUUUAUUCUGAAAUUUUUGUAACCUUAUCUAUCCAAAACUUCCAAUGAUAGUAUCUAAACUGUCAAAUCUACAAUUUUAGAUGAUGGAAAUAAUUUCUCGCCAAACAGUGGCACAACAAUGAGCAAAAGAAUAUGCUAUGGAUAGGUUGGAGCGUAUUCAAAAUUGGAGGAUGAAGACUUAUAUUCAGAUAUGAUAAAAGCUACAUACUUCAUAGUGAAGAAGGUGAGCAAUAGUUCAGGAAAUAACAGAGUCACACACGUCCAAAGCCCCUGCGAAAUUAAAGAAUCACCACAAGAAGAAGGAAAAAAAAUUGGGGGGGGGGGGAUAAUUAAAAGACAACAAAAUGGGAUCUAAGAAACUCAGCUGGUAAAGAAAACAAGAAAAAAUAAUGUCUACUCUCUAGAUCAAGACCUGAUCUGAUCAGGUUGGUUUUUCUUAUUAUUUAUUUGUGUGUUUAUGGUGAUUUUUAUAUGUAAUUUUUUUUUGGUUUUGAUAAAUAUAUUAUUAUAUAACUUUCAUCUUGUGUCCAUGCAUAUUGGACUGUUGUAAUAUAAACAACAUAAUUUUAGUUACUUUUAAGUUUACCAGCGAAUAUAA